Lemur catta (Ring-tailed lemur) is the source of this 1605-nucleotide long non-coding RNA. RefSeq lists it as uncharacterized. The transcript is spliced from 2 exons. NCBI's taxonomy places the organism in Eukaryota, Metazoa, Chordata, Mammalia, Primates, Lemuridae. The record is from RefSeq and is a predicted model, not a curated record.
UUAAUUGCUGCUUCAAUUUCUGUGCUUGAUAUUGGUCUGGUCAGCAAUUCUAUUUUUUUCUGAUUGAGCCUAGGUAUGUUCUGUGUAAGCAUUUGGAACUUGAAACUUUUCUCUAACUUUAAGACUGUUUCCAAAAGUUAAUCAGAAAUAAACAAAUGAAGGAAUGAAUGAUCAGAAAAAUGAAAAGCCUUAGGCAAAUUUUAUUUCUCCAAGAAGAAAGAGUCAUAUAAAUCAGUGCUUAAAAUUAAAAUUAUAAACAGCUAACAUUUUGGCAGUCUGAGGAUGUAAAACUGGCUUUCAUUUGCAAGACCUACUUAAAAGUCUUUCACAUUGUAUAUUUUUUUUUAAAAAAAAUUGGCACAUAUUUCCAUGAUGCUUUCUAAAGAAUGUCUUCAUUUAGAUUUGACUCAUCAGUGAAUCUAGAGAAGAAGCUCUUCCACAGGAGAAUAUCCAGCAGCAUCUGGAAAGGAAAGACAGAGUAUUCUUUACCUAACAGAUUUCAUUGGAACUAAGUGAAAUCUCAGUAGGAAGAAGGACCUCGACCAAAGAGUGAGCACUGGAGGUUUUGGAGGUUUGCAGGAAGAAAAGCUGUGAAAUAUUAAAAAAAAAUACCGUGGGAGCAUCACCAGACUAGAGAACAUGUUAGAAUUUGGGGGCAACACUGAAUACCUUCAUGAAGUUACUGGUCAUGAGUCAAAGUGAGACCAAAGCUUAGAUACCCUAGCAGAAAUCUUGUCUGGAUGAGAUGCUGGUGGUUGAUCAUUAGAUUCAUCACCUAGCCCAGGGCUGUUGGUUGAUGCCUGAGACCCAUGGAGGAAGGGACAAAGAAUCAUAUGUAAAAAAGCAAAAGAAAACACUGCACCACUAAAAGCUUUGAAAUGUUAACACUACUUUUAAAGCAUGUAAACAAAAGAUGAGAAGAUGACCGUCUCUCCCCAUCCCACUGCUCGUCAUGGAGCACCUCAAAGAAUCUCCUGCUUUGGCACUGGUGGAAUUUUCAGCCUUACCAGGUGAAAGUGGUGGUGACCUGAGGAGGAUUAUGGAACCUGUGAGUGUGCACAAGCAGGAGGACACUGCUGGACCCACGAAGAGGAAAAGGAUCAAGAUGUGAACACCAUGUGGUGACUGACUAGAACGUCUCACCACGAAGGUCCCUCUGAGAGUUCCCAGAAGGACCUGAAUGUAGACUCUGUCGAUAAAAGAUUCAUGAAGGUUGGCUGUGGGAGGAGGAAUUCUAAACACAAACCUUGCUCUGGCUGGUACAGAAGGGAAAGUCAAAAAGAUUUAAAGCACAAGUGGACCUGACACAUCACUGCUUGCUUGAAGACAGAAGAAAACCCAUGAGAUGGAGUGCAGAUAGUUAUAAGAUGCCAAGAUUGGACCUUGGCUAACACCCAGCAAAGAAAUAGACCCCAUCCCUAAAACUGUGAGGAACUGAAUUCUAGCAACCUGAAUGAGCUUGGAUGCAGACUUCUCCAUAGAGCCUGCAGACAAAAAACCCACCUGGAUAACAGUUUGAUUUCAGUCUUCUGAUACCCUGAGCAGAGAAUCCACCCAAACUGGGAGCUCUUUGUUAAUAAAUGAGUGUUGUUUUAAGCCCCUAAA